This 45-nucleotide non-coding RNA is filed under the name Schistosoma margrebowiei. Lineage: Eukaryota; Metazoa; Platyhelminthes; Trematoda; Strigeidida; Schistosomatidae. The record is from RNAcentral.
AUCUAGCUGACGAGUUCAAAAUAGGAUGAAACGCCCGUCAUGGAU